Long non-coding RNA from Diabrotica virgifera virgifera (western corn rootworm), 630 nucleotides. RefSeq lists it as uncharacterized. The transcript has 3 exons. NCBI's taxonomy places the organism in Eukaryota, Metazoa, Arthropoda, Insecta, Coleoptera, Chrysomelidae. The record is from RefSeq and is a predicted model, not a curated record.
AACCAACGACCUCGCUUCGGCCAUCUUGGCAUCUUCAUCUUGGCGACCUUGCCUUGCCGUGGAUUGUUUUUAGUUGUUUGUAUUAUUUGUGCUUUUUAAGAAUAUUUUUUUAAUUCGGAUACUUUUAUAAUAGCUUUAAUAGUAUUAUUAACAUAGUGCAUAAAAUGGUGUCCUGUUUUUAACGCAGUUGGAGUAGCAGAAACAAAUGUAGAUAAAAAAAUCUGCAGGAAUAACGUUUCAAUUAUGACAGAAGCUCCAAACAAAUGACUGAAUGAAAAGCCCUAUUAAAAGCUUUCCAGAAGAUCCUGCGAAGAAGACAUGAAGUAUAGAUCAGAUUUGUUAAUAGAGGAGUAUGUUCAAAACACUUUUUAGAAAAAGAUAUUGACAGAACUUCACUUUCAUCUGUUCGUUUGAGAGACUGUGCUGUUCCAAUAGCUUAUGUCACACAGAAUCGGCUGAGAGAAGUGGUCUACAAAAAACCAGAAAGGAAACGGAAUAUGUGGCUACGAAAAGCAAAAGAAAGGUUUACAAAGCAAAUGUGACACAUUUUUUUAUAAUAUUUAGGAAUGUCAGCAAAUUACAUUAAAAAAUGUAUGUAAAGAUUUUUUGCAAUAAAAAUGUUUAUAUUUA